RNAcentral lists this ribosomal RNA (301 nucleotides) under uncultured bacterium. RNAcentral's name for it is "partial 16S ribosomal RNA". It matches the Rfam family "Bacterial small subunit ribosomal RNA", at positions 509 to 807 of the family's 1533-position model. The record is from RNAcentral.
CAGUCGCCGCGGUAAUACGAAGGGUGCAAGCGUUAAUCGGAAUUACUGGGCAUAAAGCGCGCGUAGGUGGUUCAUUAAGUUGGAUGUGAAAGCCCUGGGCUCAACCUGGGAACUGCAUCCAAAACUGGUGAGCUAGAGUACGGUAGAGGGUAGUGGAAUUUCCUGUGUAGCGGUGAAAUGCGUAGAUAUAGGAAGGAACACCAGUGGCGAAGGCGACUACCUGGACUGAUACUGACACUGAGGUGCGAAAGCGUGGGGAGCAAACAGGAUUAGAUACCCCCGUAGUCCCUGUCUCUUAUAC